Molecule: non-coding RNA, 73 nt
Organism: Bos taurus (domestic cattle)
Lineage: Eukaryota; Metazoa; Chordata; Mammalia; Artiodactyla; Bovidae
Source: Rfam
UCCUUGGUGGUCCAGUGGCUAAGAUUCUGCAUUCUCAACGCAAGGGGCCCAGGUUCAAAUCCUGGUCAGGGAA